AGAGGGAUGCAAGCCAGACCUGCAUACAGUUUCUUCCUUCUAUCUAGCCUGCUAGCCAAGGCUCAAAAGCUUCACCUCGAAGUCUUUGAAAGUGUCAAAAAUGUCAAUAUGAAAAUAUUAUGAGAAAAUUAUCAGUAUUUGAAAAAAGUGUCAAAUUUCGCUUUCAUUUUUGGUUGCAAAUGAACUGAAAAACAAAGAAUAGACCAAAAGAAAAGUCUCACUAGGACCCCACAAGGAGCUGGCAAACAAAUAAAGCAGCUAGCACAGAGGCAGCAAGAAACUUAUACAAUAUCAGCAACCAGCUAACAGUCAAACCAGCAAACCCAGAAACAAAUCAAACAAAAAUCAACACAAAACUAAUCCUGGUGUUGAAAUUACUAAAGAAAAGAAUAAAAUUAGAGAAAAAAGAAAAAAAAAACACUCAGAAUAAAAAAUAAUCAAAUAUUAAUAAGAUUUGAUUCUCUAAAUUUAAAAAAUAAUUUUUUUUUUCUUAAUUUUAAGAUAUUUAUUAUUCUCUCCCCCGUAUUCAUAGUACAAAUUUAUGAAAAGAAAUAAAUUGUCAAAUUAUCAAAUGAUUGGUGCAUUUGAUGGGUUAAUUACUUAGAGGAGAAAAUGAGUAGGAAAUUAAUGAUGGGAGGAGAAAGAGUGAGAGGAAAUAGUGGGUUCACAUGAGGGGAAGAUGAAGAUGAUGGGAGGAGAAAAUGAAAGGAAAAUGAUGGAAGAUGGAAAGAAAAGAAAAGGAUGACCUUUUCUCUUACAUUUAAAGGACAGAAGCCAUUAAUGGUGGGCUCUACUGAGGAGAAGAUGAGAGAAAAAGCGCAAGAAGAAAAGUCUUUGGGCUUUGUCCUCUUUCACAGCUGGGAAAGGAGAUACAGCAUAAGAUGAUUGCUUUCAUGGACCAAACUAGCAUCCAUCUUUUAUCAAAAAAAAAAAGUAUCUAAUAACAUAUCCCAUGGAUUUUUCAGAUAUUAUCAGAAAAGUAUUUUGUAAAAUAUUUCAUGGAUUUUGAUGGAUUUUUGGGUAUCCAUCUUUUAUCCAAAAAGCAUCUUGUAAAAUAUCCAUAGAUUUUUCGGGUAUCCACCCGUCACACAAAUUUGGGGAAGGAUAAAUGGUUUUUGGUGCUGUGAGAAUUUUAUUUUAUUUAUUAUUUUUUUAAUAUAGAUUUGGGAUUUUUUUUUAGAAUUAAUUAAUUAAAAAUGAUGAAAAUAAUCAUCAUAUAUGUGAAUUUAAUUUCUUUUAUAUUUUUAUUGGAAGAAUAACUCAUUUUUUACAUAAAUAUCCUUAACUAUUUCAAGUAUUUAUAUAUAGGUUUUAAAAGAAAUGGUUAUUUUUAUAAGAAAAUAAUAGAGACACUUUUAUCAAAUAUGACCAAAAAAAUAAUGGAUGAUUAAAUUUCCAAAAUUGGGUUUCUAAUGGUCCUUUUAAUUGAAUAACCAUUUUUUUAAUCCAAGUUAUUUUCGGUUAUUGUCUUAUUUCAUUUUGAUUAUACAUGUAUAUAAUUUAAUUUUUAAUUUAUUUUCUUUUGAACACAUAAAAAAAAUUCUACUUCUCAAAAAAAUAAAUGAUAAAAAAUUUAUAAAUUAUAUUUAUUUUUAAUAUAAUUAAAUUUUAAAAAAUAAAAAAGUGGAUAUUUAAUGAUAAAAAAAUUAAUUGGAGGAAAUUCUCAUAAAUGUGUGUUUUAAAUUUUUUUUUUUUUUAAAUAAGGAUGAUAAUUGGUGUAAAUAGUCUGAAAAGGAUAAGGUGGGGACCAUACUAAACCUCCACAUGGACCACAUUGCCAUCCUUGGAGGAAGUUCAAAAAAUAAGACUAACAACAAUAUUAUCAUUAGCCUUCUUAAACUUAAGUCUAAAAACACUAAUAUCAUAAUAUUUUUAAAAGUUUUAUAGGGAAAAAAAAAAAAAAAGUUUAAAAACACUAUCAUUGGCAUGUUCAAUUUUUCAAUGUUUGGCCACAAACUUCAUCCCAAGACUUAAAAGUGCUCCAUUAUAUCAAUGAUCCUUCGAAUCAAAGAAUUCUUCGAUGCACAUUUGGUUUUUCGUGUCCAAUAUACCUUUACAAGUACACAUCCAAAAUUUAAAAUCACUCCAUCACUAAAUACAAUAAAUAUGGAAUUAAAACAACACAAAAACUAGCUUAGCAAGUAGUAAUACAAUGAAAACAUAGCUAAUCUCAAGAUGUAAUGAAUAAGGCAUAUUUUAUAUGAGAUUUUUACACAAUAUAAAUGUGAGGCAUAUUUUUUCGUUGGACCGAUCAAUUGGGCCAGCUAUUUUGUAUGCAUUAAUUAUACAUGUGACUAUUAGAAAGUUCUAGGUCAAUCAACUAUAGUAUCGAAACCAAUCAAGGCUCACCCCAAUCAAUUGAGCAACUGAUAGCAAUAAUUUAUGGUGUCUUAUAAAAUUAACAAAAUAGUAAUAAUUAUUUAAAGUGUUUGUUUAGAAAAAUCACCAUAUCCAAAUGCAUAUUCUAAUUUUCCAAACAUUUAAAAAUCAAAAUAUAAAAAAAAUAAGAGAAUAAACAUCUUAAAGAAGCUUUAAACACCACCAUCAUAGUCAUCAUAAAAAUUAAAAUUAUCAUCACUUCCAUCAAAACUAGAUUGAUAACUCUCCAUCUCAUUAUCAUUUUGAUUAAUAAAAUAAUAAUGCACCUUACACUUUGUUUAAUUUAAUGUUAUAUUGAAUUAAAUUACAAUUUAAGUAAAUUUAAUGAAAUAUUUGGUUAAAAUGAAUGAAAUAAUCCCCUAUGAAUUUAACUAUUUUUAUAUUUUUUCUUAAAAAGUAACUCAUUUUUUACUUAAAUGUCAUUUUUCAUUUCAAGUAUUUACAUAUAGGUUUUAAAAGAGAUACAUUUUUAUAAGAAAAUAAUAAAGGUAUUUUUGUCUAAGUGAAACCAAAUAAGGAUAAGAGGUUAAACUUCAAAAUUUGGGUUUUUAAAUACCUUUUUAAUCAAAUAACCCAAAUUUAAUCUUAAUCCAUGGUUAAAGGCAACAACCCCUAUGUCUUGCACCUUAUCCUGAGACAAUCGCCUAAGUGUUGCUGCUUUGAAUCUACCUUGCAUGGGUCUUCAAGAAACAACUUUUAUCUACCCCGCCUAGGCGAUCCAAGUGAUUGCCUUUGAUAACACUGCCAAAGACUAGGAUUGGCAACACGUGAGUUUGGGAUUAGACGCUCAUCCCUAUUAUAUAAUUGUUUCUCAUUCCCUGCCCUAUCAAUGCAAACCCAAACACCAGAUUUUUCAUGGAUUUUAACCUUUUUCAUGGUCAAUCCUUGAACCAAGACCUCUUCAAAUCUUCUGCUUCAUCUUCGAGUUCAAGGCUUUCGAGGUCUUCCCAAGUUGUACCUUUGGACAAAGACUCUUAUUUCUUUUACAAUUAUGAAGAGUUCAAUGCAACCAUGAAGGAAAUUGCAACCACAAGAGCAACGCUCCAGAUGAUUAGGUCAUCUAAGCAUAUUUGCGAUAGGGAAAUGGUGUACCUUGAAGACACCAAUGACAAGUACGAUUGGGUGGUGGAUGGUAACGAUGAGGCCUAGGAUUAGUACAGUGCUGUUGCAGAGGAGUUUCAGUUGCUAAAGCUAAAGCAAGAGCAAUAUGGAAUGAGGUUUCAAUUAGUCGGUGGGAGGAAGAAGAAAUGGGGGAAGAAGUGGGUCCAUAUUCCAAAAUGAGGCCCGGCUUUUUGUGGGUUUUAAAAUGUAUUUGACAAUGAUUCUAAAAAGUGUUUCUAACAUCUUUAAUAUUUAAAGAUAAAAAUUUUAAAGUAUUAGAAAAAUUAAAAACACUUUCUAAAAUCACUACCAAACACACUCUUAAUAGCUCUUUACAUGCGAUAUGUUUCAUCAAUGUUAAGGGGAGUUUUUUGGUAUUUUCACAUUCAGCAAGUUCUGUUUAGCUACCAGAAAAACAGAGGAAAAGAAAAGAAGAGAAAGGAAAACCUGGGAAACUUACAUCUUGGAAGUAAAGGUGUGACAAAUCGGAUGAUAUUACUCUACCCGCAACCCUACAAAACUCAAACAGCUAAUGCAUAAUAAAACCCAAUAACAGUUUUUAUCAGUGAAGUCUUAUGGACAUUGUCAACUGCAACCAUGUAUCAGACAGUUCAAAUAGAAAGUUUACAGGUAUGAAAUUAUUCCAAACCUAAGUACAGCAGCAGGGGAUGGGGUCUGUUGUGCACUAUUUGUCAAAGGAGAGAAAAACAAGAACCUAAUGCAAAGUAUAAAGUCAAUCCAAGCGCAAAAGUCUCAUGUCAGAAAAAGUUUAUGAUGCUAUCUUUUCUAAAAGGGGGAUAACAUAGAAAAUCCCCAAUUACUCAGCCUACAGACUUCUCAAUAUAGUUCAUGAUAGCAAAAUGGCAAUCACGCUUGAUCACUAACAUUUUCUGCCAUUCCAAGAACCAUUUGAUCUGUCUCAAAAUUUCCGUUCUGCAAAGAAUGAUACAAAUAGAGAGAAUGAGUUAGAAUGAGAAGAAUGCAAACCAUGUUCAUACAUGAUAUAGACAGUUGACAGGUUUCUCACUUCUCCAGUCUGGUUCAAGGAAGGACUUUGUCCAGCCUCUGGUGCUGCCUUUGAGAGGUCCCUGAGGGUACCCUGCAGUUCAUAGACAUUAGAGACCGAAUAGAUAUUCACACCAACAUGAAUCCCCGAUUUGGAUCAGGUUUCCUUCCAUGUCAUACAUUUUCCUUUAUUGAAAUAAAUAAGUAACAACUCAUAAGAAAAUCUGCAAUGAUGAUACUAACAGAAAGGUAACUGAAAACCAAGUGGGAAAGGGGGAGAUUACAUUAAAAGUCAACAAAAGAAAUCACCAAGCUUUUAUCAAUGUGCAUAUAUGAAUCUUUUUUAUCCAAUAUUACUUUCUGAUUACAUGUGUAAGAACACUCAAAAGGGAGCAAUACACCAUAUUUCUCUGUUGCUGUUCUAAAGUGGGGCUUCAAAGCAAAAUUAUGAAUAAAAUAUUGGAAACAGAAAUUGUUUCAGAUUUUUUUUUAAAUGUAAAAAUUAGAAAACAAAAGCACAACCAAAUGGCACCAAAGGAUGUCAACUUUUCCCCCAUUUCAAUUUAUCUCCAGAUAUGACUUGUGAUAUACAGAAGCCCAGGGGAGUAAGGUUCGUGUCACCUAUCCCUGACAUUUAGCUAUAGUUCCCAUAUUCAAAGGUAAAAAAGAUCCAUACCAUAUGAUAUCCAAAAACAGGCUUCAAUACACUCCCCAUUCCUUUCCUAUAUAUUCUACGGAUUAUUUGCAUGACCCAUGCAACUACACCCAACAUCACCACCACCUAUGUUCCCCCCACUGCCACCACACUGCAACCCCCACACCCACCACAACAUUUGUUCACAAGCAUUGCAUGUGCCCAACCAUCAACAAUAAUUGCUACACCAUCCUUGCACAAGCAUGGCAACCAACAUCCUAUUGUCCUCUGAAAACACUUCAUUGAGUUUGAGGUGCAAAGAAGCAUUUUGCUUCCUAAUUCCUUUAGAGUGCGUUUGGUAGUGAUUCUGAGAAGUGUUUUUAGCAUUUUUAAAACUUGAAAAUAUUUAUUUUUCAAGUAUUAGAAAAGCUAGAAACACUUCUCAAAAUCACUGCCUAAUAUACUAUUAUUUAUUUCUAGUCAUAGCACCCAAGAGCUUUUUCAAACGUGGCUAAACUGCACAGCAACCAUAUCACAUAUAGAUCGAUAUGUAAAACAAUAGCUUGCACCAAAGCAGACUGAUGAUUGUCAUCUAAACUAAAAGAGAUAUGAUCUGGUAAGCUUUGUCACAAUUUAGAAUGGUGCAUCCAGAUCAGGAACACAAAUAUUGGAACAAAGGUAAGACAGGACUCUAGUCUGAUAGAACUUUGAUCUUGGAAAGGACCAAGGAUUAAAGCAUUUAACCAAAAAAAAAAAAAAAAAGCAUUAUAGUGUUCUUUUUGAAAUGGCAUCCACCACAAAAAAUAGUGUCUUAAGAAUCAUAGGAGAUAGUAAUGAGAUCAAUCAGAAUAGCAGCUACUUCCAAAUUUUGAUGUAUAAAUAAGCCUCUAAUAUUCACCUUGUUUGCCCACAUAAGUCCACAUGCAUUGCAAAGUGUCCUUGGCCCUUCCGGUCCACGACGCAUCAUUGGAGUAGAUUUCUCACUGAUGCCACAGUGGCGACACCUGAUGAAUUUGGAAGAAACAUAACAUAACAAAUCAAAACAUCAAAAAUUGCACAUAAUAAAUUAUGUAAGUUUAAAGAGAAGCUCUUUUAUGCUAUAAGAUGGAUUCCUAAUACAAAAGUGUGCUCCCAAUUCAAUUUGGUUCAUAAAGUUGAGAUGUUAUUAAGUAUCCAUCAUGGCUAUGCUAUAAGAUGGAUUGCUAAUAGCUACUUAAUGAAAACCCUGGGAAACCCACAAAACGUGAAGCUUAAAUAUGAUAACUCAGAAAUACAGUUUGAUUUCAUUGUGUAACCCCACUGGCCCCAAGUAUCUAACUACAACUUUAUUUUAGAACCCAAGAGAAUGCAUCUGCAACACCAUCCAACAUGCCCAACAUUUCAAGAAUUUCUUUUUCUCUUACAUAGAUGUCAAAAACAAUACCUAGAAACUGUCAUUUCAGAAAUUCAGCAUGCAAUGUUAUGUAUAGUUUAAAAUUUUAGCAUAGCAAAAGUCAGAUACUUUUCUGUUGUUUUACAAACUUAUCUUCUAGAUUUUAGUUGUUCAGGCAGUUGCUUUUACUAAGAAAUGAGUAUUUGCUAAAUGAAUAGCUUCAAAAGAAAUUAAAAUUUGACUCAUGAAAACUAGUGUGGGGUUUAGCAGAUGCCAGGGUGGUGAAACAUUUGUCCAACCAGAAGAGACAGUGCUUGUGAAAAUGCAGAAGCCACCAACUUACUUCAUGUCUGCAUUUAUUAUUCUAGGGUCGGGUGAGAGGCACUGGAGCAGCUUCAGAAGAACUCCCUCUGGGGUGGAUUGGAAUGAAAACGCAUUUUAUAAAAUUGGAGGUGGCUUGUAUGCUAACAAAAGCAUGGAGGGAGACGCGAGGGGAGAGAGACAGACACACACACACACAGAAGAGCUAGAAAUUACAAACUACUGAAAAAUAUGUGAACUUACACAAUCUCUUGAUUUAUGGGUCCAUUGCCAGCCAUACCCCAGCUUGACUCCCAGCCUGGUGUCGUUGAUGCAGAAUCAUCAUGAUUGGACUUUGAAGAUGUAAAUUGACCUUUAUUCCGUUGCAUCCUACAAUAUACAAACACAGAAGUAAUCAAGAAAAAAGGAAAGAUAGCACUCUUGCUGCCAACAAAGCAUCAGAAUUCUAGUAAAUGAGAAACAAAAUAAAUAAAUAAAAAGAAAAGAAGAUCACCAUAAAAGACAAAGCAGAGGUUGCGGAUAUGAAAAAAGAUUUGCAAAGUAUAUAACUACCAUCACAAAACAAUAGAGGAUGUUGAAUAUAAUGAAUUUAUAAUGUACAAUCUUUCCUUUUUUUAAUAUAGGUCACAUGUAUGGUAGUUAGAACUCCUAGCCUUGUAUAUAUAUAUUUUCUCAAUUGUAAGUAGAUACUACAUGAAUGAAAAUUAAGGUUUUCUUCUCUCUCUCUCUCUUAACAUGGUAUCAGAGCCAAGGGAGAAAACCUAAUUCUUUCCAGUUUCCCCGUGUCAUCAAUUCCGAGAAACCUUCCUGUGACCGUGUUUCAUUCCGGUCACCUUCCCUAGACCCCAAAGCUUUCCGGUCGGUCGAAUCGCCGUCAGAAAACAUUCACCGCCGGCGACUUUUCUAGCGACGUCUUUUUUUCGACACCGCAAGGAGCGCCUGGAGGAGAUCUCCAAUUUUUCCCAAAGCAUCAGAGCCAGAAAACCACCCACGCGCCGGCCACGCGCGUUUUUUCGGCCGGCGACUGCAUCUCAUGCGCCAGCGCGUGAGGGCGCAUGAGCCACUUUCCAGCGACGCGCUUCCUCCUCCAGCCUUGCCUGACGCCGACUAGCCACCCUUCAUACCUGUUUCUGCCAUCCGAGCCCUGCACAUGCCUCUUUUGGGGUUCUUUUGCCUCCGCCGGCCCUUCGAACAGUUUUUCUGGCGUCCUCCGACUAUUUUUUCUCAACCCCAAUCCCUGCACGUGCCUUGGGAAGUGUUCUUCUACCUUUCCGGUGGUGCCACGGUUGUUUUUCUUUUCUAUUUGGUCUCUCACAUGGGCGAUUCUUCGGUUUUUCCUUCUUCAGCCGCAUCUGAAGCCGUAUUAGGGCUCUCUUCGAUCCAAAUAUACUUCAUUCUCCAGAUAAGUGGAUAUGGCUACUAAAACUUCCAUUUUUUCCUCUGUCAUAUCUGGAUCUCCUAUGAUUACUUCGGAGAAAUUGGUUGGCAGUGAAAAUUAUUUUUCUUGGUCUGCCUCUGUUGAACUUUGGUUUAUGGGACAAGGAUAUGAGGAUCAUUUGGUUACACAUGAGGCAGAUAUCCUUGAGGUUGAGCGCGUACAGUGCAGAAAGAUAGAUGCCCAGUUAUGUAGUGUAUUAUGGCAAUCAGUUGAUCCCAAGAUCCUUCUUCAUCUUUGGGCCUACAAAACUUGUUUUAAAUUUUGGACUCAGGCCAAAGGAUUAUACACGAAUGAUAUCCAGCGUCUUUAUAAGGUGGCUUCUGCUAUUGUCCAUAUCAGCCAACAGGACUUGGAUCUAUCUACUUAUAUUGGUCAGAUUGUCUCUCUUAAGGAGGAGUUCUUGACUGUGAUGCCUCUUACUCCUGAUGUUGGGGCUCAACAAACACAGCUUGAUGAGUUCUUCAUGGUCCUUACUCUUAUUGGCCUCCGUCCGGAUCUUGAGCCUGACCGCGAUCAAAUUCUUGGUAGUUCAUCAGUUCCGUCCUUGGAUGAUGUGUUUGCUCGCCUCCUUCGUAUCUCGUCCACUCAGACUUUGCCAUCUGAUAGCAUUUCAGAUUCUUCUGUGUUAGUUUCUCACACUACCUCUCGAGGAGGACGCAGUGGUAACCGAGGUAGAGGCCAACAUCCUCAUUGCACCUAUUGCAAUAAACUUGGCCACACUCGCGAUCGUUGCUAUCAGUUACAUGGACGGCCUCCUCGCACUGCCCAUGUGGCCCAGUCCUCUGAUUCUCAGCUUCCUCAGCCUCCGAGCUCCUCCGCAUCUCAGGCAUCUCAGGCUUCUGUUGCCUCUGUUGCCCAGCCUGGAAAUGCUUUUGCCUGCCUUACCCACACAUCUUCUAUUAGACCCUGGAUUCUAGAUUCUGGAGCUUCUGAUCACCUAUCUGGUAAUAAGGAUCUUUUCUCCUCUAUUACUACUACCUCUGAUUUACCUACUGUUACCUUAGCUAAUGGUUCUCAAACUGUAGCUAAAGGUAUUGGUUUGGCCCUUCCUCUGCCUUCUCUACCUCUCACUUCUGUCCUUUAUACUCCUGAAUGUCCUUUUAAUCUUAUUUCCAUCAGCAAAAUCACUCGUACUCUUAAUUGCUCUAUUACCUUUUCUGAUAAAUUUGUGACCUUGCAGGACCGGAGUACAAGGAAGACGAUUGGCAUAGGACGUGAGUCUCAAGGCCUCUAUCACCUCACCUCGGAUUCAUCUCCUACAGUUUGCAUUUCCACUGAUGCUUCUCUCCUCAUUCACAGUCGUUUGGGCCACCCUAGUCUCUCCAAGUUCCAGAAGAUGGUCCCUCGUUUUUCCACUUUGUCGUCGCUUUUGUGUGAGUCAUGUCAUCUUGGGAAACAUACUCGUGUCUCGUUCCCAAAGCGUUUGAAUGAUCGGGCAAAGUCUCCUUUUGAGCUUGUCCACACUAAUGUUUGGGGUCCUUGUCGGACUGCGUCUACUUUAGGAUUUCAGUAUUUUGUCACUUUCAUUGAUGACUAUUCUCGAUGUACUUGGUUAUUUUUAAUGAAAAAUCGAGCUGAGUUAUUCUCUAUUUUUCAGAAAUUUUAUACUGAAAUCCAGACCCAGUUCAAUAUUUCUAUUCGUGUGUUACGCAGUGAUAAUGCCAGGGAAUAUUUUUCAGCCCCAUUUACUUCAUUUAUGUCUCAUCAUGGGAUUCUUCAUCAGUCUUCUUGUGCUCAUACUCCUCAACAAAAUGGGGUAGCUGAACACAAGAAUCGACAUCUUGUUGAGACAGCUCGUACUAUCCUCCUCCAUAGUAAUGUUCCUUUUCGUUUUUGGGGGGACGAUGUUCUUAUCGCUUGUUAUUUGAUUAAUUGUAUGCCCUCCUCUGUUUUACAUGAUCAGAUUCCUCAUUUCCUUCUCUUCCCUGACCAACCACUUUAUUUCCUUCCUCCUCAUGUCUUUGGUUGUACUUGCUUUGUUCAUAUUCUCACUCCUGGACAGGACAAGCUUUCCGCCAAAGCCAUGAAGUGCCUCUUCUUGGGAUAUUCCAGACUUCAGAAGGGUUAUCGUUGUUAUUCCCUUGAGACUCAUCGAUACUUUAUCUCCGCUGAUGUCACUUUCUUUGAGGACUCACCAUUCUUUUCCACCACUUCUGAGUCUCUUCCUGUUUCUAAAGUCUUGCCCCUUCCCAUUGUCUCCCCAUCUGAUGUUGUGCAUCCUCGACCACUUCAGGUUUAUCAUCGUUGCCCUCGUGUCGCUGCUUCUCUCCCUUUUGUUGAGGCACCUGUUGACUCACUUCCUAUCCCUUCGGCUUCUCCUGCCCCGGCUCUGCCUUCUCCUGAUGAUUUACCCAUUGCUAUUCGGAAAGGUACUCGCUCUACUCGUAAUCCUCAUCCUAUUUACAAUUUUUUGAGUUAUCAUCGAUUAUCUUCAACCUAUUCUGCUUUUAUUUCUGCUAUAUCCUCUGUUUCUCUUCCAAAGAGCACCCAUGAAGCUCUUUCCCAUCCAGGCUGGCGACAGGCAAUGGUGGAUGAAAUGGCUGCUCUGCACUCUAAUGGCACUUGGGAUCUUGUUGUUUUACCCUCUGGUAAAUCUACAGUUGGCUGUCGUUGGGUCUAUGCAGUUAAGGUUGGUCCUGAUGGUCAGGUUGAUCGCCUUAAAGCCCGCUUAGUUGCUAAAGGCUAUACUCAGGUUUAUGGUUCUGAUUAUGGUGACACAUUCUCCCCUGUUGCCAAGAUUGCUUCUGUCUGCUUGCUUCUCUCCAUGGCUGCUAUGUGUUCUUGGCCUCUUUAUCAGUUGGAUAUUAAAAAUGCCUUCUUUCAUGGUGAUCUUGCCGAGGAAGUUUAUAUGGAGCAACCUCCUGGUUUUGUUGCUCAGGGGGAGUCUGGUUUAGUGUGCAGGUUACGUCGUUCUCUAUAUGACUUGAAACAAUCUCCUCGAGCAUGGUUUGGUCAUUUUAGUUCUGUUGUUCAAGAGUUUAGCAUGCUUCGCAGUACAGCAGACCAUUCAGUUUUCUAUUAUCAUAACUCCUUGGGGCAGUGUAUUUAUCUGGUUGUUUAUGUGGACGACAUCGUCAUUACAGGCAGUGAUCAAGAUGGUAUUCAGAAACUAAAGCAACAUCUUUUUACCCACUUUCAGACCAAAGACUUGGGGAAACUCAAGUAUUUCUUGGGAAUUAAGAUAGCUCAAUCUAGUUCCGGUGUGGUCCUUUCCCAAAGAAAGUAUGCUUUAGACAUCCUGAAAGAAACUGGUAUGUUAGACUGUAAACCGAUAGACACACCUAUGGAUCCGAAUGUCAAACUUGUACCAGGACAGGGGGAGCCUUUAGGAGACCUUGGGAGAUAUCGACGGCUCGUAGGUAAAUUGAACUAUCUCACCAUUACUCGUCCAGACAUUUCUUUUCCUGUGAGUGUUGUUAGUCAAUUCCUACAGUCACCAUGUGAUAGCAAUUGGGAUGCCGUAAUCCGCAUUCUUCGAUAUAUCAAAAGUACACCAGGCCAAGGUGUGUUGUACGAGAACAGAGGUCAUACUCAGGUUGUUGGUUACACAGACGCAGAUUGGGUUGGCUCACCCACAGAUAGACGUUCCACUUCAAGGUACUGUGUUUCUAUUGGAGGUAAUCUAAUAUCUUGGAAGAGUAAGAAACAAGAUAUAGUGGCCAAAUCUAGUGCUGAAGCUGAGUAUUGAGCUAUGGCUUUGGCAACAUGUGAACUCAUAUGGUUGAGACAUCUUCUUCGAGAGUUGAGAUUUGGAAAGGAUGAACAGAUGAAACUCAUCUGUGAUAACCAGGCCGCAUUACAUAUUGCAUCCAAUCCAGUCUUUCAUGAAAGGACCAAACAUAUUGAAGUUGACUGUCACUUCAUUAGAGAGAAGAUCGCAUCAAGAUGUGUUGCUACAAGUUUUGUUAAUUCAAAUGAUCAACUAGCAGACAUCUUCACUAAAUCUCUCAGAGGUCCUAAGAUUAAAUACAUUUGUAACUUGGUGCAUAUGACGUAUAUGCUCCAGCUUGAGAGGGAGUGUUGAAUAUAAUGAAAUUAUAGUGUACAAUCUUUCCUUUUUUUAAUAUAGGUCACAUGUAUGGUAGUUAAGACUCCUAGCCUUGUAUAUAUAUAUUUUCUCAAUUGUAAGUAGAUACUACAUGAAUGAGAAUUAAGGUUUUCUUCUCUCUCUCUCUUAACAGAGGAUAAUUUAACUAAUAAAUGUUGAUGCUGCAAACAUGCAUGCACACAAUGCACAAAUCUUUUAAUUGAAAUCUAUAACCAAGUGCUUCCUUUUGUACAAAAUGUACCAUUUUAAACUUUACAACCAAGUACUUUUGUAUAAAUACCAUCCUAAAAUUUGAAGUCACGGAUUUCAUGAAAGAGGUUUAGCCACCAAACUUAGGCAACAACAUACACUUUAUCCAACAUGAUAAAAACAAUUUCAAAGAGUAUGCCUCUACAAAACAUAUCCAUGAAAUCAAUCCAUCCACUCUCUGAAAAAAUUAAUGACACCCAAUAGCAAAUAUGUAAUACAGCUUUCUUACACGACAAAAUCAGGGUUACUUUGGGAAUACAGAAAGGGUACACCAUGAACUCUGGUUCCCUUGAUAUAAAAAAUAAAAAAUAAAAAGAUAAAUAGUUUGUUCAAACAUCAAAAGAAAUGCAAGAGGCUGGAAGUGAAUAACAAACAUCUGGAAUCCAAGAACAAAUAUCUUUUUACCCCCAAAGACAAUGAAAGAGAAACUAAUGCAUUUGAAAGGAGCACAAAAUAAAGCAGCUAUUCAACAUCAUACAGCUUUCAUGUACUUUUAAGAAAAGGCCACAAAAUUGACCUAGUUUGAUGUGUCAUCACAAUCUUAAUUAUUCUAGAUUCAAAUACUUAAAUUAAUACUUGUUAUUCAGCUCAAACCAUCUAAAUAUUUAGUACAUAGAAAUAACAGAAGAUGCUAACCAUUCUGUCACCAUAACUGCAAAGACAUAACUUGUAUGCCAUGGCUUUUGCUCAAAUUGAUAAAACUGCACAUCUAAAUUAAUGAAAUCAACUGAUGCUUUUCCAAAUGGACAAUAUUUCAGAUUCAAAUCAUAAUAGUAACAGUACCCUCUAUGAACUAAUUAGAAAUGUAAGGAAAAGAAUCCAUAAAAAGGUUUAUACAUGUUGCAAGGGACUGAAGGCAAAUGCCAUACCUAAGUGCUACCUCUUUACGGACCGUAUAGCGAAUUUUCUUGUCAAAAUUACGUUCUUUACGCUUUUCUCGGAAUCUAAUCAGUGAGGCCAAUCUAUGAGGGACAUUGUACCGUUGUGGAGUACCAGGUAGUUCCUGUUAGAAUGCUUCAUUCAUGAGGUACAAGAAGAAACCAAAGACAUUAGUAAAUCAAUGUGUUAUUCAAUUAACAUUGUGAUACCCUAUUAUGACCGGCUAUUGACAAAGCAGGCAUGGUUGGAGGUACUUCACGGCCACCCAAUAACAGAAGAACAGCUUGGACCUGCAGAAAAAAUUACAUUAAAAAGAACUCAAGCCACCAAGAAGAAAAUUUGCCUGUGGAUAAAGAAAUGAUACUUCACUAAUCAUUAUAAAAAAUGUAUUCCAUUUCAUGGGAAAGAAGUGAGAUGUUAAAAACAGCAAAUGCUGCACUUUACCAAUAGUUACAUCUUGGGUACCCAUCAAAAAACAACAUAUGCUGCACAGCUUGCAUAUGUUUUGCACUUCAUAGGUCACAACAUCAUAAUGACUAAAAUUAAGUGUGAAUCAAACAUCUGUCCUAUAUCAGAAUAAGGAACAAGAAUAUUUAUUGGAUGUCAUAUCAAGCUGAUAUUAAUAGGGAUUAGCAAAAAUUACCAAAGUAGUAAAACAUGAAAACCUUUAAUGUAACUUUUGGGAAAAUUAAAAUAGAAUGCAAUGAUCAAUAUAGAGUCACAAUAAAAAAAUAAAAAUAAAAUAAAAAAUAAAAAAAUGUCUCUUUGGUGUGGAGUGGGUUCUCUCUGGUACAGUUAAGGAAACUCUCCUUGGGUGGCAUGGAGCGUUUGUGGGGAAAAUCCGUAAAAAGGCGUGGCAAAUGGCCCCCUUAUGUAUAUUUUGGUCAGUUUGGAAGAAAAGAAAUUUGUUGGCUUUUGGGAAUGAGGUGUUGUCAAUCCAAAGGUUGAAACAUUCUUUUGUAUGUAAUCUGUGGUCAUGGGUUAGGGUGUUUAUAGUUUUGAGCCCGCGAUCUCUUGUUAGCUUUUUUUAGUGGCUAGGCUUUAGUUAUAGGUAGGGGUUUCGGCCCGCUACCUUGGUUUAGAGUCGAGGGGCUGCUUUUGUAUACUCCCUGUAUACCUAGAGGGCACUAGUUUGGUGUCUCCUCUUUCAUUUUAAUAUACUUCUCUUUACUUAUCAAAAAAAAAAUAUUACCCAAAAAAUGUAAGAAUAUAUAGGGUACAACAACAACCAAUUAGGAUAUAAAGAGCAUUCAUCAAAUUGUUGCAUUGAUAAAUUCAUUCACCAUCUUAAUACAAACUUUCAUUAACUUAAACAAUAUGCAUAGAUUCCCUCUUCUUUUUAGGCCUUUGGUGCCUUGUAUACAUUGUGUAUACUUUUGCACCCCCUACAUUAGGUGCGCUUUUAAUACAACUGCUUUUACCUACCAAAAAAUAAAAUAAAAAAAAACAAUAUGCAUAGAUAUUCUAAGGGCUAGAAAUCAUCAUCUCCAUCUCUAAGAGGAUGGGAACCAUAAUACAAUUUAUUUACAUAUUUUCUAUUUGUUUCCAACUUUUCUUUUUGAUAUCAUAUUCCACAACAUAAUAUAAUUUUGUUAAUACAUUUUUCUAGUGGAUAAAAUAAGUCUAUAAUGAUUUUUGCUAUCUUGUGCUAUUAGAUAAUAAUUUGAUAAUAAAUUAUCAUUUUUAUGAUAAACAUAAAUAGAAAAUAUAUAAAAAUAGUGAGGUAAAAAAAAAAAAAACAAUUCCCAUUUUAUUAACUUUAUCCCACUUAUAUAGUUAUGACAUUCUUGACAUCAUGAAAAUAUUCUCAAAAUUCUUGAAAAAUGUUGCUGACAUCUAUGAGUUAUCAUAACACCACAUGAUUAUAAUUUUGCAGCCUCAAUAAGAGUAUCUCUUGUGGGUCUCAAGAAGUGGUGCAUUGACCAAUAAUAAAAAAUAAAAAUAAAAUCUCAUUCCAUGCAAGGAGCUUUCAAAAAUCAUCUUUGUUUGCCAACACAGAUUAGAAGUUUUAAAUAAGAUCAGGUCCCCUUCCAUUUCUUGACAAGAAACAAGAAUUUAUGAAUAAAAAGAGAGACUAGAGGAUGAAAUAUCCUUCACGAUCUAUAUAUAUAUAUAAACAGCAAUGAGGGAGGACAAAGUACAAAACAGUCACUCUAGGCCUCAAAAUGGUCAAGGAGGGUAGUAAACCCAUUGAAUAUAUCUAUUGAUCUAGCACUCCUUUUGCCAGACAGUCAACCGCCUGAUUAGCUGAUUCAGGUCUCCAAUUAAAAGAACAAUGCCUCUACUAAGAGCAUGAGUUCUAAUCCAUUGUUUAUCUUCAGUGGCCCUAAUCUCCCAAGGAGGUGCAUGAGAUAAUAACCCAGGAAUCACCUUCCACAAGAAUGCCAAUAUCAUACCGAUAGAUACUUCAAUAUGACAUUAGAGAUUUGGACGAUUAUAUAUCAACAUUGAAAUUUUAUAGAAACUUGUAAUAUUAUAAAUAUUGAAGGAUGUGUAGAUAUAUUGAUAUAUUUCAUGAUUGAAUCCUAUGCACAGAAAAGGAAGUAUUUGCAUUUAGUUAUUUUAAUAGGCAAAAGGAAGCUUUUACAUUUAUGAUAAUGUAUCUACCAACAGCAUCUCAUUUCUAUCUUUUUCUUUGCUUUCCUUUUUUCCUAUCCUCCUUGUAUUCCAGAACAUUUUGAAGAAUUGCACUAAGACCUCAGAUCCAUAGCAGACGCUGCAUUAUUUCGUUUGGGAGAUGCUUAGUGAAAAAAAUCAUAUCCUCAUCAGACAUAUGUGUCCUUGUCACAUAGAAUUAUAGUUCAAAGGCACAAGAUGCACCUAAGGUACAAAGUUCUUCUAGAGCUUAAGUUAAAAUGCAACCCAAGGUGCACACUUGAGCAAAGUGAGGUGCAACUUAGUUGUAUCAAUUUUAUAAAACAUGGUAAAUUUGAACUUGCAAACAUUUUUCAUUAACUCAUUUAUCACCAAAUAUAAUUCAUAAUUUCAAUCCAAGCAACAAAAAAGAAUCAAGAUUCCAAGUAUUUAAAAUAAGCAUGAAACAAAAAUAAUGCAAUUAUUCAAAAUUUCAAUAUACAAUUAGAAAUUUCAACAAUUAAAGUGAAAUAACAAAAUAGACAAGGUGUGCCUCUCUAACAAGGUGUGUGCCUUGGCAGGCAAAGAGCUACAGUUAGGGAAUCAUUGUGCCUCAGGCCUAGGCAUGCAUUUAACACUUAUGCAUGGAAUAUACUUUGCAUUCCUUUGAUCACCGCAAAGGAAAAAGCAGCCACUGUCUUUACGAAUAGAGAAUCAUAAGCUCCAUAGUUUAAGAAUUGGAAAUUAGUUAGAUUCUUGUUUCCUUUGGCUAGAACAUAUGGAAAGAAUAAAGAGAAAGAAACAAAAGGGAGGAUGCCCUGUAAUUAUUCCCAAGUUCAGACAAAAAAAAAAAUCUUAAAUCAUAUUAUAAGCAGGUCGUGAAAGGAGAAGACAAUAUUCCAGCCAAAGAGAUUUGGGACACUAAUGUGCCCACAAAGAUUGAUUGGAUCUUUCAUGAUGGCAGCACUUUGAGUUAAAAUUUUAACAUGGAUCAGUUAGUUAAAAAGAUAGAAUCAUUCCAAUAUGGGUGUUGUACAUGGAUUGGACAGGGAGCAUGCCAAUUAUUUGUUGCUCCACUGUCUAGUGGUUUGAGAUCUGUGGGCAAUUUUUUUUCUAUUUUUGGAGUUCAAUAGGUUAUUCUGAAAACAAUGAAGUAGAUUACAAUGAGUUGGCAUUAUAUGUUGUGGUGGAAAAGGGGAGUAUACGGCAACAGUUACAUUAUGGAUUGCAUGGGAACAUGGAAAUGGUGGAACGGAAAAAACGUUUAACGGCUUACACUUUUUCUUUAACAUCUGACUCUACUGCCUAUGUGGCAAGAUCUGACAAACUAAUUUUCCCUGAGUGUCCCCAAAACAAGGCAUCAUCACAAUCAUUAAUUCAGCCAGUGAAGAGAACUAGUAGAACUACCUUUUCUGUUUUCCGUUAUAACAUCAACAAAAAAAAUCCAUGAUAGGGAUAUUCCUCCCUACAUUUUCCAUUCUACCAAUCAAACAAGAGAAAGGAAAUUUACUUUAUUUUCUUUUCACUUUUCUCUUGUUAAAUUUCCUUUCCUUCCAAUUCUCUACUCCAAAUUGAGUAUCAUCAUUAAUUCACCCAUUGAAGACAACUAAUGAUAACUACCUUUUCUCUUUUUCUUUAGAGCAUUGACUAAAAUCCAUGUUGGACAUAUUUCCUCCCCACAUCUUCCUUCCUACCAAUCAAACAAGCCGAAAAAAUUUACUUCAGCUCUUUGCUCUCUUUUCUUUUGUAUAAUUUUCUCACCUUCCAAUUCUCAGUUCAAAAUUAAGUAUUAUUGUAAAUUCACCAGUGAACAAAACUACCUUUUUUUCUUUAUGAUUACAACAUCAAUGAGAAAUACCCAUAAAAGCAUAUUUCCUUUAUGCAUUUUCCUUUCUCCAAAUAAAAUAAAAAAUAAAAAUAAAAAAGAGAGGAAAUUUACUUCACUGCCUAUUUUCCUUUCACCUGCUUAUUUUCCUCUCCCUCCAAUUCUCAGUUCCAAACUUCAUAUUAACAUGAAAAAUUGAAGAACCUAUCCCACGUCCCUUAAUACUUAUAAAGAAAAAUCAUUUGCAAAGAAACUUGAACUUUUGUAAAUCCAAAAAAUUCCAUGCAUGCUUAAGAUAAUGAAAUUCAAAACAGCGUUGAAAUUGAAAGAAACCUGCACAAAAUGGAGAUUUGCUAUUGUAAUUCAAAGACUGCCAAAAGAUCACCUUGAGUUUCAAAAUUACCCACCAUUAAUGCUUUAUUGAAUAAAGAUUUUCUAUUUAUCAAUUGAAUUGAACUUAUAUAAACACAAAAGAAUUCAUGCAUGAUUAAGGUUUGACGUUCCAAACAGAAACAAUAUUCAGAUAAACCCACUAAAACGGAGAUUAAAUAUGGGCACAUGAUUGCCUGCAAUUUAAAACCUAAUCACCUGCAUUUAAAACCUAUCCACUAUCCCUUGAUGCUUUACUAAAUAUGAACCAGUUACUUGUCCAUUAAUCAGGACUUUUGUACAGCUGAAACAUUAUGCAUGUAUAAGAUAUGAAGUUCAAACAGCAAUAAUAUUCAAUGAACCCCAUGAAAAUUGGAAACUAGAGCGGGCACAAAAUCACCUUUACUCUAUGACCAGUCCACUACACUUAAUGCUUAAUUACAUAAGAAUCUGUUAUUCAUCAACCAACUAGAAUUUGCGUAAAUUUUGUGCAUGCAUAAGACUUGAAGUUCAAAGUAGUAACAAAAUUCAAAGGAAUACUGAACUGAAGACAAAAAAAGGGGCAAAAAAACAAUAACCUUUUCCGGUGACACAGAGUCAAAUACAUAAACCUGACCCUGGAAAGAGAGAGUGAGCUGAUUCUGAUUAUCGCUGCCACCGGGCUGAACAGUAAGUGCACCCCGACUAUCAGCAAGAUUUCCAGGAUCAGCCUGCACAUCCCCUUCCAUGCCCUCACCGCUACCGCCCUCAUCAUGAUCUUCAUCCAUAGAACCACCAUUGCUCAUAUGGUGCAUCCCAUGAUCAUGCUCUUGCAUGUAAUGCUGCACAUGGAUAGGGUGAUGCUGACCAUCUGGUCUGUGGAUUCCCGCAUUGUUUCCAUGGAUUCCAUCCAUCUAUUCAGCUGCUCCACAUUCAGAUCAGUUCAGACCUAACAAUUCAAACAGAAGGAAAAAAAAAAAAAACGUAACUUCCUGUAUGGCUGCUGAGAAAAUUGAGGAAAAGUAUUCAAAACCCCAAGCCUUAUUUUCUGUGUGCGGCUGUUUCGCAUUUGUCAGUUCAGAACAGUCAUC
RNAcentral lists this long non-coding RNA (19264 nucleotides) under Vitis vinifera (wine grape). Its description in RNAcentral is "long non-coding RNA (VVIN_LNC003030)". Lineage: Eukaryota; Viridiplantae; Streptophyta; Magnoliopsida; Vitales; Vitaceae. The record is from RNAcentral.